GUCGUCGUCAAUGGUCAAUGUAACGUCUUUUAGACACUUUAAAAAGGCAAAAACAAAAGCUGGAUUUAAAGAAAACACUUUAAAAAGAUGCUGCAUAUGGCGGUUCAUCAUAUGAUUCGUUUCUAAUGACACUCCCACAAGAUCUGAUCAUCCAGAGCAAACAGAAGAGUCUUGUAUGUUGUAUCUAAAGAUCAUGAGAAGAUAAAGAAGAAGCUGACAGGAUAAAUGGAGGAAUUCUUAGAAGACAAAACUCAGAGUUAAGAGACUUUACAAUACAAGUAACAGAAAUGUCUACAUGUGAGAUGAUAGUUUUUCUCAGCGCUCAUGUUAACAGGUUAAAGCAUUCACACAGUCCACAGAAGCAGCACAUGCUCGUGUAGCUGUACAGUGUUGAAGCAUUAGUUUAUUUGAUAAAAGCUAAAGCCAUGAUUCUGUACAAUAUGAAAUGAUUUGACAUUUAAUUCUCUUGUCCAAAACAGCCUUAUUAAUAAACUAAAAAGUAAAAUACUAAAGACAAUUUUUUCCUACAUUUACAAAACAUGUGAUUAUCAAUACAAAACUGUUUGACAUAUCAUAAAAAAAUAAGGCACUGUAGUUUAAAUCAUAAAAUUCGAUCACUUUAACUCCUGAAGCUGCCUGUAAUGUGAUUGUAUGGCAUGAGACAGUGUGUUUGGUCAUUGAGUUAUACAGCCUGUCCCACAUUGUGUGACUCCUCCCCCACAUCAUCAUAGUCUGUUGUGUAAAAAGUACAUUCACAUUUUUAUGUUAAUUGCACAAAGAUGUAAACCCAAUUUUAAGUGUCUUUCAAUGGACAUUAUAAAGAUGUAACUUAGAAUAUACAUAUUUUACUGAAAUUAAAACCUACCUAACAUGUUUGUCA
Molecule: long non-coding RNA, 880 nt
Organism: Triplophysa dalaica
Lineage: Eukaryota; Metazoa; Chordata; Actinopteri; Cypriniformes; Nemacheilidae
Exons: 3
Source: RefSeq, a predicted model, not a curated record